Molecule: ribosomal RNA, 500 nt
Filed under: uncultured bacterium
Lineage: Bacteria
Description: partial 16S ribosomal RNA
Rfam family: Bacterial small subunit ribosomal RNA
Source: RNAcentral
AUUGAACGCUGGCGGAAUGCUUUACACAUGCAAGUCGAACGGCAGCACGGGGGCAACCCUGGUGGCGAGUGGCGAACGGGUGAGUAAUACAUCGGAACGUGCCCAGUCGUGGGGGAUAACGUAGCGAAAGUUACGCUAAUACCGCAUACGAUCUACGGAUGAAAGCGGGGGACCGUAAGGCCUCGCGCGAUUGGAGGGGCCGAUGUCAGAUUAGGGAGUUGGUGAGGUAAAGGCUCACCAAGCCGACGAUCUGUAGCUGGUCUGAGAGGACGACCAGCCACACUGGGACUGAGACACGGCCCAGACUCCUACGGGAGGCAGCAGUGGGGAAUUUUGGACAAUGGGCGCAAGCCUGAUCCAGCCAUUCCGCGUGCAGGACGAAGGCCUUCGGGUUGUAAACUGCUUUUGUACGGAACGAAAAGGCUCUGGUUAAUACCUGGGGCUCAUGACGGUACCGUAAGAAUAAGCACCGGCUAACUACGUGCCAGCAGCCGCCGCGG